RNAcentral lists this ribosomal RNA (277 nucleotides) under uncultured bacterium. RNAcentral's name for it is "partial 16S ribosomal RNA". It matches the Rfam family "Bacterial small subunit ribosomal RNA", at positions 337 to 630 of the family's 1533-position model. The record is from RNAcentral.
UCCUACGGGGCGCAGCAGUCGGGAAUAUUGCGCAAUGGAGGAAACUCUGACGCAGUGACGCCGCGUGCAGGAAGAAGGUUUUCGGAUUGUAAACUGCUUUAGACAGGGAAGAAAAAAGACAGUACCUGUAGAAUAAGCUCCGGCUAACUACGUGCCAGCAGCCGCGGUAAUACGUAGGUGGCAAGCGUUGUCCGGAUUUACUGGGUGUAAAGGGCGUGCAGCCGGAGAGACAAGUCAGAUGUGAAAUCCACGGGCUCAACCCGUGAACUGCAUUUGA